Molecule: ribosomal RNA, 701 nt
Filed under: uncultured Alphaproteobacteria bacterium
Lineage: Bacteria; Pseudomonadati; Pseudomonadota; Alphaproteobacteria
Description: bacterial SSU rRNA
Rfam family: Bacterial small subunit ribosomal RNA
Source: RNAcentral
CUACCCUUUGGCCUGGAAUAACUCGAGGAAACUUGUGCUAAUACCGGAUAAGUCUUUACGGAGAAAGCUUUAUGCACCAUUGGAUGAGCCCGCACUUGAUUAGUUUGUUGGUAGGGUAAUGGCCUACCAAGACUUUGAUCAAUAGCUGAUUUGAGAGGAUGAUCAGCCACAUUGGGACUGAGACACGGCCCAAACUCCUACGGGAGGCAGCAGUGGGGAAUCUUGCACAAUGGAGGAAACUCUGAUGCAGCGAUGCCGCGUGAGUGAAGAAGGCCUUUGGGUUGUAAAGCUCUUUCGUCGGGGAAGAAAAUGACUGUACCCGAAUAAGAAGGUCCGGCUAACUUCGUGCCAGCAGCCGCGGUAAUACGAAGGGACCUAGCGUAGUUCGGAAUUACUGGGCUUAAAGAGUUCGUAGGUGGUUGAAAAAGUUGGUGGUGAAAUCCCAGAGCUUAACUCUGGAACUGCCAUCAAAACUUUUCAGCUAGAGUUUGAUAGAGGAAAGCAGAAUUUCUAGUGUAGAGGUGAAAUUCGUAGAUAUUAGAAAGAAUACCAAUUGUGAAGGCAGCUUUCUGGAUCAUUACUGACACUGAGGAACGAAAGCAUGGGUAGCGAAGAGGAUUAGAUACCCUCGUAGUCCAUGCCGUAAACGAUGUGUGUUAGACGUUGGAAAUUUAUUUUCAGUGUCGCAGCGAAAGCGAUAA